Symphalangus syndactylus (siamang) is the source of this 805-nucleotide long non-coding RNA. RefSeq lists it as uncharacterized. The record is from RefSeq and is a predicted model, not a curated record. NCBI's taxonomy places the organism in Eukaryota, Metazoa, Chordata, Mammalia, Primates, Hylobatidae.
UAACAUUCUUAACAAACAGCUUCCCACUAUUCAACUAAGGGAUUUUCUUUCAUUCCCACUCAUGUGACUUUUCUUCUUGUCCACUCAUCUAUAUCAACAUGGUGUUCACAUGUCAAGCCACAAGUAAAAUAAUCUCAAAUGUUACUCCUAAAAAUGUGAACAAGAGGCCAGGCACGGUGGCUCACGCCUGUAAUUCCAGCACUUCGGGAGGCCGAGGCGUGCGGAUCACGAGGUGCGGGAAUGCAAGGAGUUACAGAGAAGACACGGAAGCCAGUAAAGAAAAGCAAACAUGAAUCAGGUUGCCAUCUUUGGUCAACAUGAAAAAAACAUCUCCUUAAUGUGUAUAAUGGUGAUACCUGUGAUAUAAGCCAUUGCCCACGGGCUACCAUUUCAUUAAGAUGUAAUGCUAUGAAUAUUUUCCACUCAUCUAAAAUAGAAGAAAAAGCUUUUAUUGUUUAAACCUAAAAAAGAAUCAACCGAAACAGAACAUUUCCCUAGUCAUCUUAAAGAAGAAAUGCUUUUUCAGUCGAGUUUUAGCCAGGCAGUUUCUAAUCACAAAACUAAAGAUAUAUGUGUUUAUGCUCAGACCCUACUGACUUCAAAAGAAAAAAAAAUGCUAAAAUAGCUUAUGUACUAGCACAAGUCAACCAAAAGACAUGCAGCAAAAUCGUUAUACAGUUGUAAUCUGUAAAACAUGUUAUGAUCCUCCAGCAUAGAAAAGAGGAUAAUGUCAAACCUACAAUUCUGGUCAAAUACCCAAAAAUUCGUACAAUUAAACUCAAAGGGCAAAUCUUAGGCAUAACAA